CAAUGUACUUUACUGUUGCCAUACCAGGGACCUCAAUGUCUUGCUUUAGAUAUCUAGGAAAGAAAAGGUGAUGUUAGAAAAAUUACUAGAUGUCAACCAAAAACUUUUACCUGUUUUUUCAGGUGCCAAACUUAAAUUUCUUCGAUUUGAACUAUAAUUUUAAUGCCUUAAUUAAAUAGACUAAUAUACUAGACAGAAGAUAAUUAAAGAAACAAGUAAAAAGAAGAUGUUUCAUAUUGACUGUGUUGUCAGUGAGUGUUUUUAUGGCGUUUCUAGCAGUCUACCUACACUAACAUUUACUUUAUCUCUCUUUUUUUGCAAUGAUCAUGAAUAAAAUAACUUGAAUUAACUCCUUUUCUUUACAGUUGAAGUAUUUGCAAAGGUUUCAUCAACAACAAGAGACACGACAACCACAACGACGACCGUCAGUAACACAAAGACACAACAAACAUCUACUUCGUCCACCACCACCGAGGCCACAGGUUUUCAGGUUAAUGACUGGAGAAAUUUCAUCAUCGGCGCUUUGGUUAUGUUGGUCAUCGCUCUGGUCGUCAUCUCUGUGUGUAGGCCGACGAAAGGACGAAGGGGCGAAGCUGGUGAGUUUAAAUGUGUAAACCACAGUGUAAACAAAUAAAUCAAGUUAUUUGUUGGGUCUAAAAUUAUUCUGUAUUCACUAUGGUUUAUUAAAUUAAUCGGGAUCUCCGCCAUAUUUAGCUUGAAUGGAAGAAAGUUAUGGGUAAUCAACAUUCCUGAUAAAAUACCGACUUGUAGUUCUACCUUAGUUCCACGAAUAUGGAAUUUUAUCAGCCAUCUUCGGGUAGCUUAUCGACACACCUCGAUUCCGAUAAGAGACUCGGUAAACAGCUUGAAUACUAACCAGCAGCAGUGAUGGAGGACGAGUACGAGUGAUGGAAGGAUGCUGCACGGUUCUCCCCGAGUAAGCGUGAGGCAUUUUUUUCGUUACAUAAGUUUAUUUACUAAGGAGACUACUUUAAAAAGUAAUUUUUUGUCAAAUUAGUUCAUUUUGUUGAACGGUAAGGUUUCUUAUCAUCACAAUGUUGAUGGCACGAUUUUUAAGAAAUCAGUAACUUUGUUAAACU
Molecule: long non-coding RNA, 1100 nt
Organism: Pomacea canaliculata
Lineage: Eukaryota; Metazoa; Mollusca; Gastropoda; Architaenioglossa; Ampullariidae
Exons: 3
Source: RefSeq, a predicted model, not a curated record